AACGCACCUUGCGCCCUUUGGUAUUCCGAAGGGCAUGCCUGUUUGAGUAUCAUUAAUACCUCACUCUUGAAUUCCUUGCGAAGUCAAGCAGUGGACUUUGGAGGUUUUUGCAGGCCAUCACUGGUCAGCUCCUCUUAAAUGCAUUAGCGGAACUCUAUGCAGUACCAGCCUCGGUUUGAUAAUCCUAUCUAUGCUGUCGCUGUUGGACUGUGCUGUUUGGCUUACAACCGUCUUCGGACUGUCACUUCUGUGGCAUAACAUUAAACUUGAUCUCAAAUCAGGUAGGACUACCCGCUGAACUUAA
This 304-nucleotide unclassified non-coding RNA is filed under the name uncultured Clavariaceae. Its description in RNAcentral is "sequence contains ITS2". The record is from RNAcentral. Lineage: Eukaryota; Fungi; Basidiomycota; Agaricomycetes; Agaricales; Clavariaceae.